Molecule: ribosomal RNA, 376 nt
Filed under: uncultured delta proteobacterium
Lineage: Bacteria; Deltaproteobacteria
Description: bacterial SSU rRNA
Rfam family: Bacterial small subunit ribosomal RNA
Source: RNAcentral
GAGUUUGAUCUUGGCUCAGAGCGAACGUUAGCGGCGCGCCUAACACAUGCAAGUCGCACGGAGUAGCAAUACUCAGUGGCGCACGGGUGCGUAACACGUAGAUAAUCUGCCCUUCGAAGGGGGAUAACGUUCCGAAAGGAGCGCUAAUACCGCAUAAAGCCAGCCGGGGUUCGCCCUGGCUGGACAAAGGCUGGGAUCGCAAGACCAGUCGUCGAAGGAGGAGUCUGCGGCCCAUCAGCUAGUUGGUAAGGUAAUGGCUUACCAAGGCAAAGAACGGGUAGCUGGUCUGAGAGGAUGAUCAGCCACACUGGUACUGGAACACGGACCAGACUCCUACGGGAGGCAGCAGUAGGGAAUAUUGGACAAUGGGCGAAAG